AGAGUUUGAUCCUGGCUCAGGAUGAACGCUGUUUGGCGUGCUUAACACAUGCAAGUCGAACGAAGCGGUUACAGGGAUUCCCUUCGGGGAGGAACGGUAACUGUCUGAGUGGCGGACGGGUGAGUAACGCGUGGGCAACCUGCCCCAUACCGGGGGAUAACAGCCGGAAACGGCUGCUAAUACCGCAUACGCCCAGGAGGCUGCAUAGCUUCCUGGGGAAAACUCCGGUGGUAUGGGAUGGGCCCGCGUCUGAUUAGCUCGUUGGCGGGGUAACGGCCCACCAAGGCGACGAUCAGUAGCCGGCCUGAGAGGGCGGCCGGCCACAUUGGGACUGAGACACGGCCCAGACUCCUGCGGGAGGCAGCAGUGGGGAAUAUUGCACAAUGGGGGAAACCCUGAUGCAGCGACGCCGCGUGAGCGAUGAAGUAUCUCGGUAUGUAAAGCUCUAUCAGCAGGGAAGAAAGUGACAGUACCUGACUAAGAAGCCCCGGCUAACUACGUGCCAGCAGCCGCGGUAAUACGUAGGGGGCAAGCGUUAUCCGGAUUCACUGGGCGUAAAGGGAGCGCAGGCGGCACGGCAAGUCUGGUGUGAAAACCCGGGGCUCAACCCCGGGACUGCAUUGGAAACUGCCGGGCUGGAGUGUCGGAGGGGUAAGCGGAAUUCCUAGUGUAGCGGUGAAAUGCGUAGAUAUUAGGAGGAACACCAGUGGCGAAGGCGGCUUACUGGACGAUGACUGACGCUGAGGCUCGAAAGCGUGGGGAGCAAACAGGAUUAGAUACCCUGGUAGUCCACGCCGUAAACGAU
This 805-nucleotide ribosomal RNA is filed under the name uncultured bacterium. Its description in RNAcentral is "bacterial SSU rRNA". It matches the Rfam family "Bacterial small subunit ribosomal RNA", at positions 8 to 810 of the family's 1533-position model. The record is from RNAcentral.